GCGAGCCCACGUGGUGAUUUGGUCGACCGGCUUGCGGGCCACGUAAAACAACCCGCUAAAAAGGUCCGAGCCGCGUCCGC
This is a non-coding RNA of Azospirillum lipoferum 4B, 80 nucleotides long. NCBI's taxonomy places the organism in Bacteria, Pseudomonadati, Pseudomonadota, Alphaproteobacteria, Rhodospirillales, Azospirillaceae. The record is from Rfam.